Gossypium raimondii (Peruvian cotton) is the source of this 627-nucleotide long non-coding RNA. RefSeq lists it as uncharacterized. NCBI's taxonomy places the organism in Eukaryota, Viridiplantae, Streptophyta, Magnoliopsida, Malvales, Malvaceae. The record is from RefSeq and is a predicted model, not a curated record. The transcript has 4 exons.
UCUUCGCCGUCUAAAUGGGCUUGUAAAGCUUGCACUUUUUUGAACCUUUACAACAAAUCCAAUUGUGAAAUCUGUAUUCAACUUCAUUCCCCUUCAUUCCCCUAAUAACAUUUGUUUUCAAGAAGUUACUCUGGUGAUUUAUGACCUUUUUCGUGGGUCUAACUGGUGGAAAGGGUACCGGUGCUCUAUCUCGGACGACACGGUGAGUUUGAGAGCUUACUUUUGUAUGCAGGUAUGUUUUGAUUGCCAUAAUUUUGUGAAGCUUUUUAUGCAAAUGUGUAUACUUACUAUAUUGUUUUGCAGUUAAGGAAAUUGCCUGUGAAAUCCUUAACAGUCUGAAACAUAUUGCAUUGAUGGAGGCCAAGAUGAAAAAACUCUCUGAUUUACUGAGUAAGAAUUUAGAAGGGAUUGAGGAAGCAGCAAGCAAUGGCCCCAAAAGACGGAGAAAGCAUUUCUCAAACACCCCAAGGUGUUUUUAAGGUGUUACUGGAUUAUGGAUUGGCAUUCUGUAACUAUUUUCCUUGACAAACUUAGAAAUAAAGCAAUCACAUUCACUAUUUUUCAAGCCACUUGCAUCUUACUCCUCUAUGUUGAAUCAAAUUGAGGAAUUGCUAAGUGCUAGAGACU